Long non-coding RNA from Benincasa hispida (wax gourd), 658 nucleotides. RefSeq lists it as uncharacterized. Lineage: Eukaryota; Viridiplantae; Streptophyta; Magnoliopsida; Cucurbitales; Cucurbitaceae. The record is from RefSeq and is a predicted model, not a curated record.
AACAAAAUCCUUUUUCUUCUCCCCCCUGCCUAACCCUCGAGUCCGGCGCCAUCGACCGCUCGUUCCACUCGCAUCCAGUCGUUGUUGAAGCCGCGCCGACCUUCACAUGUGAAGGAGCCAAGCGAUGCCACGACUCCCAAUCGAAGCCUGCGCCUCCUCGCAUUUCCGUUCGUGAGUGCCAGCCCGAGCCGCCAUCCUCCAUUCAUUACUGCACUGCCCAAUCGAGGGUGUCAUCUCAUCUGUCAGCCGCACUUCAGAUCCGUCAAUCGUGGGUCUGCCGCCACUGACCAGAUCCGUCUAGCCCAGAUCUGCUUCAUCUCACCAUCCGCCGCUCCAGCCACUGCCCCAACCGCACCGCUGCCGGUCGCCAUCGUCCCUACCGCAUCGGGUCCGCUUUGGUUUUCGUCGGAAUCUUGAAUUUGGGUUUAAGGUCUCUAUCCAUCAGAAUUAGAGGUUGUUUGUCUUUGUGGAUUUUAGUGGAGCUUUUGGAGCCAAAGUCUGAAAGUGACCAUUGAUCAAGCCACACUUUAGGUUUAAUUUGAGUUUCAUUAUCGAGUAGUUGCUUGGAGGAAAGUAUUUGGACUUGCGAUUUGAGGUAAAGGUAGACAAUUGUCAAGCGGAAUUUGUGAUCGAGCCACUAGGACCAGUUUUAUGCUUC